Long non-coding RNA from Triticum urartu, 767 nucleotides. RefSeq lists it as uncharacterized. Lineage: Eukaryota; Viridiplantae; Streptophyta; Magnoliopsida; Poales; Poaceae. The record is from RefSeq and is a predicted model, not a curated record.
UGGGGACGAAAUUUGCGGCUAACAGGUUUCUUUUCUUUUGCCACCCGGUAAGUGCUCGUGCAAUCCUCCUCUUCCCCUUCCUCGGCGACCUGAACCACAGGCGUGCCCUCCCGUAGCUGGAGAGCCUUUGCUGCCCUAGCACGUCUGCACGCGAGCAGCGGUUCCACGAGCAGCAUCGACGGUGCGGGAGCUGCGCGGAAGCAAGCAGCGGUCGCACGCCCGGGCCCUGCAGAUCUCACCGAGUGCCACGGGCGGCAUCACAUCUCGUGCUGUUCCUGCGUCACUGCAAUUCGCGUGUUGGCCGUGACCGGAGCUUUGCCGUUGCGGGGGCGGGGUGGUGCCCGCGAGGUGUUCGGGACAUUGUACGAGUCGAGCAGAGCAGAUCUGCUGCACGGAUAGCAAGAAUGGUUAAUAUUGCACUUAUACUCUACCUUCGAAAUAUUCUCUAAAGUAAGGAGGCCUGCCUAAAUGGACCAAUGUGAGUGAUGGAUGACUUGGAUUUAAAAUAUAACCAACAGUUCUGGAUUAAAGCUAUGGACUAUAGAGUAACAGAUAGUAGCGCAAUCUCCUUUGACACCAGACACCUACUUGGUUUAUGCUUAAGUUCCAUGACAUCUCCCUUGUCUCAAUGGCAGGGUCUGCUAAGAGAACACCAAUUUUGUUGUCUCAGUGGCAGGCACUUAUGCCUUAUUAGUUUGUUGCACCUGUGAUGGAUCCCAGAUGGUGUAUCUGCCACCAAUGUUUGCUGUUACCUGAUUUGCUUAUGC